Molecule: ribosomal RNA, 492 nt
Filed under: uncultured bacterium
Lineage: Bacteria
Description: partial 16S ribosomal RNA
Rfam family: Bacterial small subunit ribosomal RNA
Source: RNAcentral
AGUGAACGCUGGCGGUAGGCCUAACACAUGCAAGUCGAACGGCAGCACAGUAAGAGCUUGCUCUUACGGGUGGCGAGUGGCGGACGGGUGAGGAAUACAUCGGAAUCUACUUUUUCGUGGGGGAUAACGUAGGGAAACUUACGCUAAUACCGCAUACGACCUACGGGUGAAAGCAGGGGAUCUUCGGACCUUGCGCGAUUGAAUGAGCCGAUGUCGGAUUAGCUAGUUGGCGGGGUAAAGGCCCACCAAGGCGACGAUCCGUAGCUGGUCUGAGAGGAUGAUAAGCCACACGGGAACGGAGACACGGUCCAGACUCCUACGGGAGGCAGCAGUGGGGAAUAUUGGACAAUGGGCGCAAGCCUGAUCCAGCCAUACCGCGUGGGUGAAGAAGGCCUUCGGGUUGUAAAGCCCUUUUGUUGGGAAAGAAAAGCAGCAGGUUAAUACCCCGCUGUUCUGACGGUACCCAAAGAAUAAGCACCGGCUAACUUCGUG